GAUGAAGAACGCAGCGAAAUGCGAUAAGUAGUGUGAAUUGCAGAAUUCAGUGAAUCAUCGAAUCUUUGAACGCUCAUUGCGACCCUUGGUAUUCCAUGGGGCAUGCCUGUUCGAGCGUCAUUACAACCCUCAAGCUCAGCUUGGUGUUGGGCCCCGCCGCCCCGGCGGGCCCUAAAGUCAGUGGCGGUGCCGUCCGGCUCCGAGCGUAGUAAUUCUUCUCGCUCUGGAGGUCCGGUCGUGUGCUCGCCAGCAACCCCCAAUUUUUUUCAGGUUGACCUCGGAUCAGGUAGGGAUACCCGCUGAACUUAAGCAUAUCAAUAAGCGGAGGA
This 329-nucleotide unclassified non-coding RNA is filed under the name soil metagenome. RNAcentral's name for it is "partial contains 5.8S ribosomal RNA, internal transcribed spacer 2, and large subunit ribosomal RNA". The stretch from base 1 to 120 matches the Rfam family "5.8S ribosomal RNA", at positions 35 to 154 of the family's 154-position model. The record is from RNAcentral.